CAAACAGGUUGGACUAUAUUACAUUCCACCAGCAAUAGGAGAGCUCCAGUUCUUCCCAUCCUUGCCAACACAAGAAACAAAUAAACUGAAGCACCAAGAGCAGCUGAGGUGACCAUGGAUUACUCUGAGACACUUUACUCCAUGCCGAGGAAGAAGACUCCCACCAACCAGGGAUUCUGGGUGGCGAGAAUAAGCAGACGUUUCCUGCCAGCUUGAUUUGGACA
Molecule: long non-coding RNA, 224 nt
Organism: Mustela erminea (ermine)
Lineage: Eukaryota; Metazoa; Chordata; Mammalia; Carnivora; Mustelidae
Exons: 3
Source: RefSeq, a predicted model, not a curated record